Molecule: ribosomal RNA, 460 nt
Filed under: uncultured bacterium
Lineage: Bacteria
Description: partial 16S ribosomal RNA
Rfam family: Bacterial small subunit ribosomal RNA
Source: RNAcentral
CCUACGUGAGGCAGCAGUGAGGCAUAUUGGUCAAUGGGCGCGAGCCUGAACCAGCCAAGUAGCGUGAAGGAUGACUGCCCUACGGGUUGUAAACCUCUUUUAUAGAGGAAUAAAGUGAGGCACGUGUGCCUUUUUGUAUGUACCUUAUGAAAAAGGAUCGGCUAACUCCGUGCCAGCAGCCGCGGUAAUACGGAGGAUCCGAGCGUUAUCCGGAUUUAUUGGGUUUAAAGGGAGCGUAGAUGGGUUGUUAAGUCAGUUGGGAAAGUUGGGGGCUCAACCGUAAAAUUGCAAUUGAUACUGGGAGUCUUGAGUACACUUGAGGUAGGCGGAAUGCGUGGUGUAGCGGUGAAAUGCAUAGAUAUCACGCAGAACUCCGAUUGCGAAGGCGGCAUACCGGCGCCCAACUGACGCUCAGGCACGAAAGCGUGGGUAUCGAACAGGAUUAGAUACCCCAGUAGUC